CUCCGGUGAUCCUGCCGGACCCGACUGCUAUCAGAGUGGGGCUAAGCCAUGCGAGUCAACAUAGCAAUAUGUGGCAUACGGCUCAGUAACACGUAGUCAACAUGCCCAGGGGACGUGGAUAACCUCGGGAAACUGAGGAUAAACCGCGAUAGGUCAUCACUUCUGGAAUGGGUAAUGACUUAAAUCUAUAUGGCCCCUGGAUUGGACUGCGGCCGAUCAGGCUGUUGGUGAGGUAAUGGCCCACCAAACCUGUAACCGGUACGGGCUCUGAGAGGAGGAGCCCGGAGAUGGGCACUGAGACAAGGGCCCAGGCCCUAUGGGGCGCAGCAGGCGCGAAACCUCUGCAAUAGGCGAAAGCUUGACAGGGUUACUCUGAGUGAUUUCCGUUAAGGAGAUCUUUUGGCACCUCUAAAAAUGGUGCAGAAUAAGGGGUGGGCAAGUCUGGUGUCAGCCGCCGCGGUAAUACCAGCACCCCGAGUGGUCGGGACGUUUAUUGGGCCUAAAGCAUCCGUAGCCGGUUCUACAAGUCUUCCGUUAAAUCCACCUGCUUAACAGAUGGGCUGCGGAAGAUACUAUAGAGCUAGGAGGCGGGAGAGGCAAGCGGUACUCGAUGGGUAGGGGUAAAAUCCGUUGAUCCAUUGAAGACCACCAGUGGCGAAGGCGGCUUGCCAGAACGCGCUCGACGGUGAGGGAUGAAAGCUGGGGGAGCAAACCGGAUUAGAUACCCGGGUAGUCCCAGCUGUAAACGAUGCAGACUCGGUGAUGAGUUGGCUUAUUGCUAACUCAGUGCCGCAGGGAAGCCGUUAAGUUUGCCGCCUGGGGAGUACGGUCGCAAGACUGAAACUUAAAGGAAUUGCCGGGGGAGCA
This 867-nucleotide ribosomal RNA is filed under the name uncultured archaeon. RNAcentral's name for it is "bacterial SSU rRNA". It matches the Rfam family "Archaeal small subunit ribosomal RNA", at positions 1 to 878 of the family's 1478-position model. The record is from RNAcentral.